This 1185-nucleotide long non-coding RNA is filed under the name Macaca fascicularis (crab-eating macaque). RNAcentral's name for it is "lncRNA (ENSMFAG00000057068.1)". Lineage: Eukaryota; Metazoa; Chordata; Mammalia; Primates; Cercopithecidae. The record is from RNAcentral.
GGGGCAUUCUGGGUCAUCAGGAUAGUUGGGUAACACCACUGGCACUUGGUGGGCAGGCAGCAGGUUUACUAGAAAUCAUACAAUGUGUGACAGUAUAUUGUCCUAUGUUCUGAUAGAUUUAAAAGGUUUUAGAUGUUUACGCUGAUUAAAAAACCUCUCAUGAUAUUUUUAUUACAUAAGAAUAUAAUGUUUGUGUUUGACUUUAAUGUAUGCCAAAAUUUCCAGGUACACUGCUAACACUGAAUAGAAAGAUCACUUUAGUUUGCUUACUUUGGAAUUUUGUCAAGAAUUGUUCACCAUUUCUGAAAAAUCACAUCACUGACCACCUAACCGCUUGCAGUGUUUGAGUCACUAACUUUUUCAUCGUGGUAAUUCCACACACAUGUAAGCAUCUAAUGGUUGUAUUCCAUCUUCCAGUAAGUACAGUCUUUUCUAAGCAAUGAAUAUGAAAAGGUAGAAAUGGCCUUCUUUAAUUUCUCCUUACGUUGCAGGUAGAACAUUAUAUUGACUUUUUAAGCAUGCAUGAAUAGACAUAUAUUGCCUAUGCAAUACUCAUUUCAGGGUAGAAAAAAGAUAUUAAAAAUAUUUCUUAUGAGUGAGAAGCAGUGACCUACAGGGUGUGCCAGCACUUCCCCAGUGAUGAUGAUAAUGUCAUCAGUGACCUUGAUGAUGAUUCCCAGAAGAGAAGGUGGUGCAGGUGAAACUGUCUCCCACCUUCUUAAAAAUCAGCUUUUGUCAGGGCACAGUGGCUCACGCUUGUAAUCCCAGCACUCUCGGAGGCCAAUCAUAGGACCCGCAGGCGGAUCAUAGGAGCCCAGGAGUUCAGGACCAGCUCAGGCAACAUGGUGAUACCCCAUCUCUACAAAUAAUAAUUUUCUAAAAAAUUAGGCCAGGCGUGGUGGCUCACAUCUGUAAUCCCAGAACUUUGGGAGGCUGAGGUGGGUGGAUCAUUUGAGGCCAAGAGUUCAGGACCAGUCAGGCCAACAUGGUGAAACCCUGUCUCUACAAAAAUACAAAAAUUAGCUGGGCAUGGUGGUGGGCACCUGUAGUCCCAACUUCUUGGGAGGCUAAGGCAGGAGAAUUGCUUGAGCCUGAGAGGUGGCAGUUGCAGUGAGUCAAGAUCGCACCACUGCACUCCAGCCUGGGCGACAGAGCAAGACUCCAUCUUAAGGAAAAAAAAAAAAA